CCAUCCCUCCCUCUUGGCAGAAGUUUGCCAUUGGAGUAUAUUUAGAUAUUUUUUUGAUUGACUAGAAGUGUAUUCGACUUUGCUAGGCGUUUGGCUGGAGAUGAGAGGCGGCGCUAGGUUACGAUAGCCUGCAUCCCGUCAGGCUCCACCAAUAGCCUUGGCAAUAGGAUCCCCUGAUACCCUUGGCUAUCUCCCAAGACUAUUUGAAGUA
RNAcentral lists this long non-coding RNA (211 nucleotides) under Elaeis guineensis (African oil palm). Its description in RNAcentral is "long non-coding RNA (EGUI_LNC032022)". Lineage: Eukaryota; Viridiplantae; Streptophyta; Magnoliopsida; Arecales; Arecaceae. The record is from RNAcentral.